GGCUACAGUAUGAGCGGGCUGGAUCCUUCGGGGUUACAGCCUUGCUGAAUUAUUCACCCGUGUCUUUUGCGUACUUCUUGUUUCCUUGGUGGGUUCGCCCACCAUAGGACAAACCAUAAACCUUUUGUAAUUGCAAUCAGCGUCAGUAAAAAAAAUUAAUAAUUACAACUUUUAACAACGGAUCUCUUGGUUCUGGCAUCGAUGAAGAACGCAGCGAAAUGCGAUAAGUAGUGUGAAUUGCAGAAUUCAGUGAAUCAUCGAAUCUUUGAACGCACAUUGCGCCCUUUGGUAUUCCAAAGGGCAUGCCUGUUCGAGCGUCAUUUGUACCCUCAAGCUUUGCUUGGUGUUGGGCGUCUUGUCUCCAGUUCGCUGGAGACUCGCCUUAAAGUAAUUGGCAGCCGGCCUACUGGUUUCGGAGCGCAGCACAAGUCGCGCUCUCUUCCAGCCAAGGUCAGCAUCCACAAAGCCUUUUUUCAACUUUUGACCUCGGAUCAGGUAGGGAUACCCGCUGAACUUAAGCAUAUCAAGCCGGGGGGAGAAAAAA
Molecule: ribosomal RNA, 544 nt
Filed under: Alternaria consortialis
Lineage: Eukaryota; Fungi; Ascomycota; Dothideomycetes; Pleosporales; Pleosporaceae
Description: eukaryotic LSU rRNA
Rfam family: 5.8S ribosomal RNA (bases 167-320)
Source: RNAcentral